RNAcentral lists this ribosomal RNA (1370 nucleotides) under uncultured bacterium. Its description in RNAcentral is "bacterial SSU rRNA". It matches the Rfam family "Bacterial small subunit ribosomal RNA", at positions 28 to 1381 of the family's 1533-position model. The record is from RNAcentral.
GAUGAACGCUGGCGGCGUGCCUAAUACAUGCAAGUCGAGCGAACGGACGAGAAGCUUGCUUCUCUGAUGUUAGCGGCGGACGGGUGAGUAACACGUGGAUAACCUACCUAUAAGACUGGGAUAACUUCGGGAAACCGUAGCUAAUACCGGAUAAUAUUUUGAACCGCAUGGUUCAAAAGUGAAAGACGGUCUUGCUGUCACUUAUAGAUGGAUCCGCGCUGCAUUAGCUAGUUGGUAAGGUAACGGCUUACCAAGGCAACGAUGCAUAGCCGACCUGAGAGGGUGAUCGGCCACACUGGAACUGAGACACGGUCCAGACUCCUACGGGAGGCAGCAGUAGGGAAUCUUCCGCAAUGGGCGAAAGCCUGACGGAGCAACGCCGCGUGAGUGAUGAAGGCCUUCGGAUCGUNAAACUCUGUUNAUUAGGAAGAACAUAUGUGUAAGUAACUGUGCACAUCUUGACGGUACCUAAUCAGAAAGCCACGGCUAACUACGUGCCAGCAGCCGCGGUAAUACGUANGUGGCAAGCGUUAUCCGGAAUUAUUGGGCGUAAAGCGCGCGUAGCGGUUUUUUAGUCUGAUGUGAAAGCCCACGGCUCAACCGUGGAGGGUCAUUGGAAACUGGAAAACUUGAGUGCAGAAGAGGAAAGUGGAAUUCCAUGUGUAGCGGUGAAAUGCGCAGAGAUAUGGAGGAACACCAGUGGCGAAGGCGACUUUCUGGUCUGUAACUGACGCUGAUGUGCGAAAGCGUGGGGAUCAAACAGGAUUAGAUACCCUGGUAGUCCACGCCGUAAACGAUGAGUGCUAAGUGUUAGGGGGUUUCCGCCCCUUAGUGCUGCAGCUAACGCAUUAAGCACUCCGCCUGGGGAGUACGACCGCAAGGUUGAAACUCAAAGGAAUUGACGGGGACCCGCACAAGCGGUGGAGCAUGUGGUUUAAUUCGAAGCAACGCGAAGAACCUUACCAAAUCUUGACAUCCUUUGACAACUCUAGAGAUAGAGCCUUCCCCUUCGGGGGACAAAGUGACAGGUGGUGCAUGGUUGUCGUCAGCUCGUGUCGUGAGAUGUUGGGUUAAGUCCCGCAACGAGCGCAACCCUUAAGCUUAGUUGCCAUCAUUAAGUUGGGCACUCUAAGUUGACUGCCGGUGACAAACCGGAGGAAGGUGGGGAUGACGUCAAAUCAUCAUGCCCCUUAUGAUUUGGGCUACACACGUGCUACAAUGGACAAUACAAAGGGCAGCGAAACCGCGAGGUCAAGCAAAUCCCAUAAAGUUGUUCUCAGUUCGGAUUGUAGUCUGCAACUCGACUACAUGAAGCUGGAAUCGCUAGUAAUCGUAGAUCAGCAUGCUACGGUGAAUACGUUCCCGGGUCU